Molecule: unclassified non-coding RNA, 262 nt
Filed under: uncultured fungus
Lineage: Eukaryota; Fungi
Description: sequence contains ITS1, 5.8S rRNA gene
Rfam family: 5.8S ribosomal RNA (bases 214-262)
Source: RNAcentral
UUUCCGUAGGUGAACCUGCGGAAGGAUCAUUAAUGGAUUGGGACGCAAGUCCCGAAUUCUCAUCCUUACCUCUGUGCAUUUGUUUUAGUUUCUUUGGCGGGGCCCGUUUCGGCUCUGAAAUCUUCCCCUCCGGGAGGGUUUUUGGAGAGUCUCCGCCAAGGUCUUUUAUCAAACUUGUUUAUUCAGUCAGAAAGUAUCAUACAAAAAAGUUAAAACUUUUAGCAACGGAUCUCUUGGCUCUCGCAUCGAUGAAGAACGCAGC